Molecule: ribosomal RNA, 87 nt
Filed under: Tanaecium bilabiatum
Lineage: Eukaryota; Viridiplantae; Streptophyta; Magnoliopsida; Lamiales; Bignoniaceae
Description: partial 5.8S ribosomal RNA
Rfam family: 5.8S ribosomal RNA
About the family: 5.8S ribosomal RNA (5.8S rRNA) is a component of the large subunit of the eukaryotic ribosome. It is transcribed by RNA polymerase I as part of the 45S precursor that also contains 18S and 28S rRNA. Functionally, it is thought that 5.8S rRNA may be involved in ribosome translocation.
Source: RNAcentral
UGCAGAAUCCCGUGAACCAUCGAGUCUUUGAACGCAAGUUGCGCCCAAAGCCAUUAGGCCGAGGGCACGUCUGCCUGGGCGUCUCGC